GAUGAACGCUGGCGGCGUGCCUAAUACAUGCAAGUCGAGCGAACAGACGAGGAUCUUGCUCCUCUGACGUUAGCGGCGGACGGGUGAGUAACACGUGGAUAACCUACCUAUAAGACUGGGAUACCUUCGGGAAACCGGAGCUAAUACCGGGUAAUAUAUUGAACCGCAUGGUUCAAUAGUGAAAGACGGUUUUGCUGUCACUUAUAGAUGGAUCCGCGCCGCAUUAGCUAGUUGGUAAGGUAACGGCUUACCAAGGCAACGAUGCGUAGCCGACCUGAGAGGGUGAUCGGCCACACUGGAACUGAGACACGGUCCAGACUCCGACGGGAGGCAGCAGUAGGGAAUCUUCCGAAAUGGGCGAAAUCCUGACGGAGCAACGCCGCGUGAGUGAUGAAGGUCUUCGGAUCGUAAAACUCUGUUAUUAGGGAAGAACAAAUGUGUAAGUAACUAUGCACGUCUUGACGGUACCUAAUCAGAAAGCCACGGCUAACUACGUG
This 497-nucleotide ribosomal RNA is filed under the name uncultured bacterium. RNAcentral's name for it is "partial 16S ribosomal RNA". It matches the Rfam family "Bacterial small subunit ribosomal RNA", at positions 28 to 507 of the family's 1533-position model. The record is from RNAcentral.